GUCGAGAAUUUUUCACAAUGGGGGAAACCCUGAUGGAGCGACGCCGCGUGGAGGAUGAAGGCCCUCGGGUUGUAAACUCCUGUCAUGCGGGAACAAGAAAGUGAUAGUACCGCAAGAGGAAGAGACGGCUAACUCUGUGCCAGCAGCCGCGGUAAUACAGAGGUCUCAAGCGUUGUUCGGAUUCAUUGGGCGUAAAGGGUGCGUAGGUGGCGAUGCAAGUCUGGUGUGAAAUCUCGGAGCUCAACUCCGAAAUUGCACCGGAUACUGCGUUGCUAGAGGAUUGUAGAGGAGAGUGGAAUUCACGGUGUAGCAGUGAAAUGCGUAGAUAUCGUGAGGAAGACCAGUUGCGAAGGCGACUCUCUGGGCAAUUCCUGACACUGAGGCACGAAGGCCAGGGGAGCAAACGGGAUUAGAUACCCUAGUAGUCC
This 428-nucleotide ribosomal RNA is filed under the name uncultured bacterium. Its description in RNAcentral is "partial 16S ribosomal RNA". It matches the Rfam family "Bacterial small subunit ribosomal RNA", at positions 354 to 796 of the family's 1533-position model. The record is from RNAcentral.